GACGAACGCUGGCGGCGUGCUUAACACAUGCAAGUCGAACGGAAAGGCCCUGCUUUUGUGGGGUGCUCGAGUGGCGAACGGGUGAGUAACACGUGAGUAACCUGCCCUUGACUUUGGGAUAACUUCAGGAAACUGGGGCUAAUACCGGAUAGGAGCUCCUGCUGCAUGGUGGGGGUUGGAAAGUUUCGGCGGUUGGGGAUGGACUCGCGGCUUAUCAGCUUGUUGGUGGGGGAGUGGCUUACCAAGGCUUUGACGGGUAGCCGGCCUGAGAGGGUGACCGGCCACAUUGGGACUGAGAUACGGACCAGACUCCUACGGGAGGCAGCAGUGGGGAAUAUUGCACAAUGGGCGGAAGCCUGAUGCAGCAACGCCGCGUUCGGGAUGACGGCCUUCGGGUUGUAAACCGCUUUCGCCUGUGACGAAGCGUGAGUGACGGUAAUGGGUAAAGAAGCACCGGCUAACUACGUG
RNAcentral lists this ribosomal RNA (468 nucleotides) under uncultured bacterium. Its description in RNAcentral is "partial 16S ribosomal RNA". It matches the Rfam family "Bacterial small subunit ribosomal RNA", at positions 28 to 507 of the family's 1533-position model. The record is from RNAcentral.